Molecule: ribosomal RNA, 774 nt
Filed under: uncultured Neocallimastigales
Lineage: Eukaryota; Fungi; Neocallimastigomycota; Neocallimastigomycetes; Neocallimastigales
Description: partial large subunit ribosomal RNA
Rfam family: Eukaryotic large subunit ribosomal RNA
Source: RNAcentral
CAUCACUACGCUAGAUGCAUAUCAAUAAGCGGAGGAAAAGAAACUAACAAGGAUUCCCUAGUAACGGCGAGUGAAGCGGGAAGAGCUCAAAUUUGAAAUCUUAAAGGUUUUACCUUGACGAAUUGUAGUUUAAAGAAGUGUUUUCUGUUGAAGUUUUGGUAAAAGUUCUUUGGAAUAGGACAUCAUAGAGGGUGAGAAUCCCGUAUUUGACCAUUACUUUUCAGCUGUGUGAUACACUUUCAAAGAGUCGGAUUGUUUGGGAAUGCAGUCCAAAAUGGGUGGUAAAUUUCAUCUAAAGCUAAAUAUUGGCGAGAGACCGAUAGCGAACAAGUACCGUGAGGGAAAGAUGAAAAGAACUUUGAAAAGAGAGUUAAACGGUACGUGAAAUUGUCAAAAGGGAAGCGUUUGACACCAGUGUUGUUUUUCUGAAAAUCAAUUAAAGAACUGUUUAUGCUAAGUUGUUUAGACUUUAUCAGCUAACUGUUUAGUUUUGAGCUUUUCUUUAAUGCACUUUUCAGAUAACAAGUCAACAUCAAUUUCUUUUGCUGUAAAAAAGCUUGAGGAAGGUGGCCUGAGAUUCGUCUUAAGUGUUUAUAGCCUCUUGCCUAUGCAGUCGGAGAGAUUGAGGUCUGCAGCGUAGAUCCUUCGGGGCUAAAUGCAUUUGUGCUAAGUUAUAGCAUUUUAUAGACAACUUGUUGACUAUGAUUUGUCUUGUAGCUUACUCGCUUAUGUUAUUUUACCUACGCUUAGGAUGUUGACGCAUGAGAUAUACGC